UAGGGAAUCUUCGGCAAUGGGGGCAACCCUGACCGAGCAACGCCGCGUGAGUGAAGAAGGUUUUCGGAUCGUAAAGCUCUGUUGUAAGAGAAGAACGUGUGUGAGAGUGGAAAGUUCACACAGUGACGGUAACUUACCAGAAAGGGACGGCUAACUACGUGCCAGCAGCCGCGGUAAUACGUAGGUCCCGAGCGUUGUCCGGAUUUAUUGGGCGUAAAGCGAGCGCAGGCGGUUUAAUAAGUCUGAAGUUAAAGGCAGUGGCUUAACCAUUGUUAGCUUUGGGAACUGUUAAACUUGAGUGCAGAAGGGGAGAGUGGAAUUCCAUGUGUAGCGGUGAAAUGCGUAGGUAUAUGGAGGAACACCGGUGGCGAAAGCGGCUCUCUGGUCUGUAACUGACGCUGAGGAUCGAAAGCGUGGGGAGCAAACAGG
This 429-nucleotide ribosomal RNA is filed under the name bacterium. RNAcentral's name for it is "partial 16S ribosomal RNA". It matches the Rfam family "Bacterial small subunit ribosomal RNA", at positions 355 to 776 of the family's 1533-position model. The record is from RNAcentral.